Molecule: ribosomal RNA, 275 nt
Filed under: uncultured Singulisphaera sp.
Lineage: Bacteria; Pseudomonadati; Planctomycetota; Planctomycetia; Isosphaerales; Isosphaeraceae
Description: partial 16S ribosomal RNA
Rfam family: Bacterial small subunit ribosomal RNA
Source: RNAcentral
CCUACGGGUGGCUGCAGUCGAGAAUCUUCGGCAAUGGGCGCAAGCCUGACCGAGCGACGCCGCGUGGAGGACGAAGGCCUUCGGGUUGUAAACUCCUGUCGAGGGGGAAGAAGCCGCAAGGUUGACUGAUCCCUGGAGGAAGCACGGGCUAAGUUCGUGCCAGCAGCCGCGGUAAGACGAACCGUGCGAACGUUAUUCGGAAUCACUGGGCUUAAAGCGCGUGUAGGCGGGGUGGCACGUCGGUCGCUGAAAGCCCCCGGCUCAACCGGGGAAGU